Long non-coding RNA from Felis catus (domestic cat), 907 nucleotides. RefSeq lists it as uncharacterized. The record is from RefSeq and is a predicted model, not a curated record. Lineage: Eukaryota; Metazoa; Chordata; Mammalia; Carnivora; Felidae. The transcript is spliced from 2 exons.
CUGGCUGAAGUCGGACUCUCAACCGACUGCACCACCCAGGCGCCCCUGUGAUUUCAGUUUAUGCCUAUGCCCAGAAUGAAGGAUGCCUCAUGUUACAUACUGCCUAUCCUCUAAAAUAUUUUUCUACAUAAUCAACCUUCCUUGGUAAUUGAACUCCCAGUUUUUUUGGUGGGGGCAUACCAUCCCAGAAUACAUAUUAUAACCUCCAACCUCCCUUAUGGUUAUAUGUACCCACAUAAUUUAGUUCUGGCCAGUGGAAUAAAAGUGGAUGUACAACUUUUGGAUAUUGUCCUUAAUGGGAGAGGGGAAAUGUUUGUCAUCUUUCCUCUUUACUGCCUGGAUGUGGGUGUAAUGGCUGGAGUUCCAGGAGCUAUCAUGUAUCAUUAUCUUGGGAAUGGAAGCCAUGCAUGCAGAACAGGAACAACAUGGACAUCCUGAGAGCAUGAAGUUCCCAUAUCACCUCUGGACCGCAUACCUAUGGACUUCUAUAUAACCGAGAAAUAAACAACUAUAUUGUUUAACCUAGUUUUGUUAAUUUUAAUCCUAGUUUAAUCCAGUUUUGUUUUUUAAUUUUAAUUCUAGUUGGAACCUAAUUUUAACUGAUAUGGUCCUCCAAGCCAGCUGCCUUUAUUCAGCUAUCAACCGUAAUUCUAUUGCACAAAACAUGUUUUAUACAACAGAUAAAUUCCUAAACUUUUUUGGGGGGUAAAAUUUGAAGAUAGUUAAAAUAUAAUAAUAGGGGCUAUCAUUUAAAGAAACCAAAUGGAAAGUUCUUCUAUAAAGUAUUUACAUUUUUUUUUUGUUUGUUAUAAAAAGGCUUACCGAUCUAAAUCCUGAAACAGAAAAAAAGAGUAUUAAUAGCACUACUGAUAUGAUUUAAAUAAAGUCUGCAGUGUGGUUAAUAGUA